UGAGAGUUCCCCAUCUGCACGAACACA
Molecule: non-coding RNA, 27 nt
Filed under: Mus musculus (house mouse)
Lineage: Eukaryota; Metazoa; Chordata; Mammalia; Rodentia; Muridae
Source: RNAcentral